This is a small nucleolar RNA of Limanda limanda (common dab), 89 nucleotides long. NCBI's taxonomy places the organism in Eukaryota, Metazoa, Chordata, Actinopteri, Pleuronectiformes, Pleuronectidae. The record is from RefSeq and is a predicted model, not a curated record.
CGUCUGAAGUGAUGUUUAGCACUGGGCUCUGAAAUCAAUGGUGACAAAAGUGCAACGCUGCCCUUGACAAGGCAGAAUCUGAGCAGAUG